RNAcentral lists this ribosomal RNA (484 nucleotides) under uncultured bacterium. RNAcentral describes it as "partial 16S ribosomal RNA". It matches the Rfam family "Bacterial small subunit ribosomal RNA", at positions 28 to 523 of the family's 1533-position model. The record is from RNAcentral.
GACGAACGCUGGCGGCGAGCUUAACACAUGCAAGUCGAACGAUGAAGCCGGAGCUUGCUCUGGUGAAUUAGUGGCGAACGGGUGAGUAACACGUGAGUAACCUGCCCUUGACUCUGGGAUAACUGCUAGAAAUGGUAGCUAAUACCGGAUACGACCCUCGGAGGCAUCUUCAGGGGGUGGAAGGAAUUUCGGUCAAGGAUGGACUCGCGGCCUAUCAGCUAGUUGGUGAGGUAAUGGCUCACCAAGGCGACGACGGGUAGCCGGCCUGAGAGGGUGACCGGCCACACUGGGACUGAGACACGGCCCAGACUCCUACGGGAGGCAGCAGUGGGGAAUAUUGCACAAUGGGCGCAAGCCUGAUGCAGCAACGCCGCGUGAGGGAUGACGGCCUUCGGGUUGUAAACCUCUUUUAGUAGGGAAGAAGCGAAAGUGACGGUACCUGCAGGAAAAGCACCGGCUAACUACGUGCCAGCCGCCGCGGUAA